This is a non-coding RNA of Dovyalis caffra, 71 nucleotides long. The record is from the annotation of a GenBank genome assembly. Lineage: Eukaryota; Viridiplantae; Streptophyta; Magnoliopsida; Malpighiales; Salicaceae.
GGUGACAUGGCCGAGUGAUAAGGUGAAGGACUGUAAAUCAUUUUUCCCUUGUUCAAAUUUGGGUGUCGCUC